RNAcentral lists this ribosomal RNA (806 nucleotides) under uncultured archaeon. RNAcentral's name for it is "bacterial SSU rRNA". It matches the Rfam family "Archaeal small subunit ribosomal RNA", at positions 85 to 876 of the family's 1478-position model. The record is from RNAcentral.
ACGGCUCAGUAACACGUGGCUAAUCUGCCCUUGGGACGAGAACAACCCCGGGAAACUGGGGCUAACUCUCGAUAGGUGAAGAACACUGGAAUGUGUCUCCACCCAAAUAGUCCAGCGUUAUGCUCGUUGGAUCGCCCAAGGAUGAGGCCGCGACCGAUCAGGUUGUUGGCGAGGUAAUGGCUCACCAAGCCUUUUACCGGUGCGGGCCGUGGGAGCGGGAGCCCGGAGAUGGGCACUGAGACAAGGGCCCAGGCCCUACGGGGCGCAGCAGUCGCGAAAACUUUGCAAUAAGCGAAAGCUUGACAGGGCUAUCCCGAGUGCCAUCCGCUGAGGAAGGCUUUUACCCAGUCUAGAACGCUGGGGGAAUAAGGAGAGGGCAAGUCUGGUGUCAGCCGCCGCGGUAAUACCAGCUCUCCGAGUGGUGUAGAUGUUUAUUGGGCCUAAAGCAUCCGUAGCUGGCUAAGUUAGUCCCUUGUUAAAUCCACCGAAUUAAUCGUUGGAUUGCGGGGGAUACUGCUUGGCUAGGGGACGAGAGAGGCAGACGGUAUUUUCGGGGUAGGGGUGAAAUCCUAUAAUCCCGGGAAGACCACCAGUGGCGAAGGCUGUCUGCUAGAACGCGCCCGACGGUGAGGGAUGAAAGCUGGGGGAGCGAACCGGAUUAGAUACCCGGGUAGUCCCAGCUGUAAACGAUGCAGGCUAGGUGUUUGGACGGCCACGUGCCGUUCUAGUGCCGCAGGGGAGCUGUUAAGCCUGCCGCCUGGGGAGUACGAUCGCAAGAUUGAAACUUAAAGGAAUUGGCGGGGGAG